This 400-nucleotide ribosomal RNA is filed under the name uncultured Rhodocyclaceae bacterium. RNAcentral describes it as "bacterial SSU rRNA". It matches the Rfam family "Bacterial small subunit ribosomal RNA", at positions 981 to 1382 of the family's 1533-position model. The record is from RNAcentral. Lineage: Bacteria; Pseudomonadati; Pseudomonadota; Betaproteobacteria; Rhodocyclales; Rhodocyclaceae.
UUGACAUGUCCGGAAUCCGAAGAGAUUUGGGAGUGCUCGCAAGAGAGCCGGAACACAGGUGCUGCAUGGCUGUCGUCAGCUCGUGUCGUGAGAUGUUGGGUUAAGUCCCGCAACGAGCGCAACCCUUGUCAUUAGUUGCCAUCAUUUGGUUGGGCACUCUAAUGAGACUGCCGGUGACAACCGGAGGAAGGUGGGGAUGACGUCAAGUCCUCAUGGCCCUUAUGGGUAGGGCUUCACACGUCAUACAAUGGUCGGUACAGAGGGUUGCCAACCCGCGAGGGGGAGCUAAUCCCACAAAGCCGAUCGUAGUCCGGAUCGCAGUCUGCAACUCGACUGCGUGAAGUCGGAAUCGCUAGUAAUCGUGGAUCAGCAUGUCACGGUGAAUACGUUCCCGGGCCUU